AAGCACUCCCAGCUGCAGCUGCCACCUGAGCAUCCACAGUAGAUUUCAGCACCAGGGACAAGAAAGUUGUGGCCAGUGUUGUCCAGCAGUCAAGCAUCCCAGGAAGGCAGCAGAGCCCAAGAUGAAGGCGCCAGAUGAGAGUGGAAGGGAAUGGUCCAGCAACAAUAAUUCUGCUUCCUCGGUGUUCUGUUCUCCUCUCGAAGUGACUGGUGCCGUUAUGGAAAUUGAAAUCUCUAACCCUCAGACCAGAAACCUAACUUCACAGACUUACUUGGAGUCCCUGCAUCCAUCCCUGCUGAGGAUGGCUCCCUGCUAAGCUACACUGGAGACUGAAUUAACCAUUUACAUACUGGAAGUCACUUCUUCAGAAGCUGAAUGAAACUGAUAUAAUGAAUGAAA
This is a long non-coding RNA of Podarcis raffonei (Aeolian wall lizard), 399 nucleotides long. RefSeq lists it as uncharacterized. The record is from RefSeq and is a predicted model, not a curated record. Lineage: Eukaryota; Metazoa; Chordata; Lepidosauria; Squamata; Lacertidae. The transcript is spliced from 3 exons.